GGGGCUGUAGCUCAGUGGCAGAGCGCUCACCUAGCAUGUGCGAGGCCCUGGGUUUGAUCCUCAGCACCA
RNAcentral lists this transfer RNA (69 nucleotides) under Marmota marmota marmota (Alpine marmot). It matches the Rfam family "tRNA". Rfam says of the family: Transfer RNA (tRNA) molecules are approximately 80 nucleotides in length. The record is from Rfam by way of RNAcentral. RNAcentral also lists the same sequence under 3 other names. Lineage: Eukaryota; Metazoa; Chordata; Mammalia; Rodentia; Sciuridae.